This 258-nucleotide long non-coding RNA is filed under the name Pelobates cultripes (western spadefoot toad). Lineage: Eukaryota; Metazoa; Chordata; Amphibia; Anura; Pelobatidae. The record is from RNAcentral.
GCAGGAACUCCAAUCAAGAAUUCUGAAGCCGUGAGUGCACUUAUGGAUACUAUCCUGCUACCCACUCAAGUAGGCAUCAUCAAGGUGGCAGCUCACGUGAAGAUCACAGAUGAAAUCUCAAGAGGAAACCACAAAGCAGACAAAGCUGCCAAGCAAGCAGCAAUCAAAGUUCAUCCCUCUACAGGUAAUACCUUUCUACAAGUUGUUCUUACAGAUGACGCCGUUGACUACAAUAUACUGUUGAGCUUACAAAGACAG